CCGUGCUAGAUGGGGAGGCAGCGGUGCCCUAUAACCUGCAAUCCGCUACAGCAGGAUUGAAUUCCCAGCCUAGGCUUCUUAUUGUAAGGUCUGACCUAGAUAAGUGGCAGUGACGAUUGGGUCCUGCGCAACGGAAACUCAUGAACCCCGUCAGAUCCGGAAGGAAGCAGCGGUAAGUGAAUAUUUUCGUGUGCCGCGGGGAAACCUGAUCUGAGUUAACUGUCUAGGUAACGCUUGGAAUAGGAUUGUCAAAGCUGGGUGCACGG
Molecule: signal recognition particle RNA, 266 nt
Filed under: Tissierella sp.
Lineage: Bacteria; Bacillati; Bacillota; Tissierellia; Tissierellales; Tissierellaceae
Also listed under: 1 other name
Description: signal recognition particle sRNA large type
Rfam family: Bacterial large signal recognition particle RNA
About the family: The signal recognition particle (SRP) is a universally conserved ribonucleoprotein involved in the co-translational targeting of proteins to membranes. Archaeal SRP consists of a 7S RNA and homologues of the eukaryotic SRP19 and SRP54 proteins. In most bacteria, the SRP consists of a 4.5S RNA and the Ffh protein (a homologue of the eukaryotic SRP54 protein).
Source: RNAcentral